This 69-nucleotide transfer RNA is filed under the name Rattus norvegicus (Norway rat). It matches the Rfam family "tRNA". From Rfam's summary of the family: Transfer RNA (tRNA) molecules are approximately 80 nucleotides in length. Their secondary structure includes four short double-helical elements and three loops (D, anti-codon, and T loops). Further hydrogen bonds mediate the characteristic L-shaped molecular structure. tRNAs have two regions of fundamental functional importance: the anti-codon, which is responsible for specific mRNA codon recognition, and the 3' end, to which the tRNAs corresponding amino acid is attached (by aminoacyl-tRNA synthetases). tRNAs cope with the degeneracy of the genetic code in two manners: having more than one tRNA (with a specific anti-codon) for a particular amino acid; and 'wobble' base-pairing, i.e. permitting non-standard base-pairing at the 3rd anti-codon position. Lineage: Eukaryota; Metazoa; Chordata; Mammalia; Rodentia; Muridae. The record is from Rfam by way of RNAcentral.
GGGGGUUUGGCUCAGUGGUAGAGUGCUUGCCUAGGAAGCGCAAGGUCCUGGGUUCGGUCCCCAGCCCCG